Long non-coding RNA from Equus asinus (donkey), 2760 nucleotides. The record is from Ensembl. NCBI's taxonomy places the organism in Eukaryota, Metazoa, Chordata, Mammalia, Perissodactyla, Equidae.
GUUCAAGGGGCUGUCCAUCAAAGGGCGCGUGGGGUUCACCGCUGCGGUGGUUUCUGGGCGUCUGAGGCCCCAGAAGCCUCUGCCGCUCGGACUCCGGCGGCCGCGGGGACGCUGCCCAUGGGUCGCGUCCCCUCGGGUUCUCGCGAGAUCGGCCGAGACGAUCCGCUGCUCCCUGGGGGCCGAGAGCCGGGGAGGGCUCGGGGGUCCCAGCCGGUGGGGUGACAGUCUUGGUCGUGCGGGGGGCGAGGUUCCUGGCCCGACUCCGGACCCCGCCGGUAGCUUCCGAGUGUCCAGACAUUCCGCGUGGCGAGGAGGGCGCCGGGGCUCGGGCUGGACAGACCGGCUCUCCCCGCGGCGGGGCGCCCUCGCUGGUCCCCUCCGUGGAGACGCACACCCUCUCUGAACCUCUCGGGUGACGGACUUGGUGAUCCGGGGCCGUGGGAGGGUUCCUAUUCAUGCAGUAGAGUUUUUAGCGCUUAAUGAAAGGGAGCUGCCUCCGAUAUUGGGAUGUAAAGAGAUGAAAGAAACAAAGACCUGCAUGAGCGUGGAAGAGACGGGCCUGCGAGAUUAAAAUGUUGAUCUUUCCGCCUGGAUCAGUGUGUGGUUCAUGGAACAAAGGAGCCGCAUGACUGGGGGCUGGAGAGGCUUGGGUGACCGUCUCGGGUCCUGCAUUGUCCUGGUUCUUGCCUGUCCCUGGGUCAUGCCAUCCCUUCCCGGAGGCUAAGGGCCCUCUCUCUCCCAGGAGCUUGUCUCCACGGCCGCCUCUUCCACACCAGCUGUCUCUGAUCCGCUCUUGACUCUGCCCCAGAGUCACUGGAUCCAUAUGCCUGGUAACCCCCUCCCUCGCUUAAAAGCUGGAGGCUGUAGGUUGGGGCUCAGGGCCUGUCUAAUCUGGCGGCCUGCCCUUCCAACCCCUCCUUUCCCGGUCCCACCUUCAGGGCCAAACUCCAGCUGUAGCGACACCUCUGCUCCUUGGCCCCGGCGGGCUCCCUGCCCGCUGUGCCCUGGGCUGGCAUCCCCCUUCCACCAGCUCUUCCAGGCUUAGAUGAGCUGUCAGGGGUCGUUGGCCACUUACCCCCAGCAAGCACACUCAUUUCUGUCCUCCUGUUACUUCUUGUCACAGCACCGUAGGCGACACUUAUGUUCCAUCACGAGCUAAACCAGUGGCUUUUGUAUCAGCGCCACGUUUGGGAGGUUGACAUGGGCCUGGUGUCUUUAUCCUGGUGUUCCAGGUGCAUCGUGCAGUGUCUGGCACAGCGGGCAUCUGUUCAUCUGCCAAAUGUUACUGGAUACCCUAGGACGUGUCAGGAGUAAUUGUGGGCCCUGGGGAAAUGCAGUGCGGUAAACAGACAAAACCCCCAUGCGCAUGGACCCCAUCCUCGUGAGGCUGACAAACUAAAAAAAGUUUCUAUGGUUUCUCCGUGAACUCAGAGCUCUCCCGAGGUGGGCAGGGAGGCGGUGAUGCGGGCUGGCCAGUGUCCCCGUCCCCAGGGCCCUGGAACACGAACAGAAGCUCGGGCACAGAAAGCGUCCUGGCCCGUGCAUUGCGUGACAGCUCCCGAGUGAAUCAUGCUGCUAUUCUGGGGCCGCUGCUCUCCAGGGCGGGGAGCAGGAUGGCGAGGGCUGUGUUUGGAGUCGCCUCUGAGGCCGCAGAUCCGGCAGCGAAUGACAGCCCGAAGGGAUCAACGUGGGUGACCAGCUUCUCUGCAGAGCGAACCUCCAGGGUGAAAGUUCUCCCAAGAUCCAAAAAAAAUCAAAUGGCUGGAGCUCAGGAAGCUUAGCAUGGGGGCAAGAGCACAUCAUGUGACACCCAACACCAAGAGGAGGCUGCGAGGGGCACUGAGGGAGAUGAAAGAUGGAGCGAACUCGGCGACACCCCUCCCGUUGAAAGCUGAAGAUGCUGCCUCUGCGAGGGCGGGGCCCCUGACGUUCGCUGCCGUGUGCAUCAGGACCUGGGACGUCGUGCAUGCUUGUCCAGCUGGAACCCUGUGAAGAGUCCUGCCUUGCCCAGUCAGAAUGAUGCUUCCUGCCCGCAUCCGCCCAGGCCUCUCUUAGACGGGACGGUGGCCGGCUGUUAGUUGGGUCCUUCUCUCUCCUGGCUGCCACGUGAGAACAGAGCCAAAUCCUACCAAGAAGAAACCGCAGGGCGGUGCAGAUGCCCAGGGGGCUUCAACGGCCUGGCUCCGGAGGAACGGAUCCCAGGCUCUGUGCAAAAGGCCACCUCCUAAUUGGGCACCGGGACUUUCUGUGACAGGGGUCCCAGCCUCUCCCCGUAUCAUCCUCCCCACACCUUUCCAGGAAGGGUGAAGGAGUCAGAAUUAUGGACCCCGAAGAUGUCCACGUCUUAAUCGCUGGAGCCUGUGAGUGUGUCAUCACUUGGCAAGGGGGAAUUAAGGUCGCAGAUGGAAUUAAGGAUGCUAACGAGCAGACUCUGAAUAGGGACAUGGUCGUGGGUUAUCCCGUGGGCCCAAUGGAACCACAAGGGUCCUGGAAAACAGAAGAGAGAAGCAGAAGAGAGUCAGAGGGAAAGGCCACCACGGAAGAAUGGUCAGAGACGCAAAGUUGCUGGCUGCGAAGAUGGAGGAAGCAGGCCACAAGCCAAGGAAAGUGGGUGGUCUCCUGUAGCUGGAAAAGACAAGGAAGAGCUUCCAGAAAGGAACACAGCCCCGCCCACACCUUGAUCUUAGCCCAGCCAGACUCAUGGCAGCCUUCUAGCCUACAGAACUUAAAGAUAAUAAAUUUGUGUUGUUUAAGACUAAA